AUGCACGCUAGCAGGAGAGAUUCUGCCAGACAAUGUUUCAAGAAGAGAUUUCAGCAUUUGAUCAAUGUUGGUUUUGGCACAAGCUUUGGUACGUCAUCGAAAGUGUCUUUUUUUGGACAUUCUCUUCCUUCUUCGUUUUCAAGUCUGGUCCGGGAGAGGGAAACCCAGCCCCAGCGACCUGCAGAAAGAGGCGGCUUUGGCUUCCGUCACGUUGAGUGGUGCGGGUCCAUCAGAAGCUCCAAGGACACCCGUAAGGUAAGCGUUCCUCCCCGCUCUGGAUGUGCGCCUGUUGACCUGAUGCGUUCACGCCCUUUUUUGUUUAAUCACAGUGUGCAGACUGCUUAUUCGAGGGCACCUUCCCUCACAGCCUUGAGUGGUUCCACAUAACCAUCACCAGUUCCUUGGUCUCUCUGCUCAGUCAUUCCUGUGCCUCAUUAAGCAGACUGUGCGUGUAAUUCAUCCACCUUGAACACUGACUCGGCAUCUACUUGGCUAGCUGUUGUGUUGCACCUUUGUUAUUACAAAGAAACAAAUUUAAACAUUAGAAUGGUGCACAUGUAUAGUAAUGAAAUGCUUAACAUUCUGCCCGUGUCGGAGUAGAUCUUAAAGCUAAACUGAACGUCCACGUGCCACUCACGUCAGGAAAGGCAGAGGUGGCGUUUGAUGAUUUUGCCCUGUAUGCCCAGAGGACACAUGGUUGUGACCUUAAUAAAAACGAUGUUUCCUGUAUGACA
This 734-nucleotide long non-coding RNA is filed under the name Bos indicus x Bos taurus (hybrid cattle). Its description in RNAcentral is "lncRNA (ENSBIXG00005010964.1)". The record is from RNAcentral. Lineage: Eukaryota; Metazoa; Chordata; Mammalia; Artiodactyla; Bovidae.